This 2927-nucleotide ribosomal RNA is filed under the name Klebsiella oxytoca. RNAcentral describes it as "bacterial LSU rRNA". It matches the Rfam family "Bacterial large subunit ribosomal RNA". The record is from RNAcentral. Lineage: Bacteria; Pseudomonadati; Pseudomonadota; Gammaproteobacteria; Enterobacterales; Enterobacteriaceae. RNAcentral also lists the same sequence under 1 other name.
GGGUUGUGAGGUUAAGCGACUAAGCGUACACGGUGGAUGCCCUGGCAGUCAGAGGCGAUGAAGGACGUGCUAAUCUGCGAAAAGCGUCGGUAAGGUGAUAUGAACCGUUAUAGCCGGCGAUGUCCGAAUGGGGAAACCCAGUGCAAUUCGUUGCACUAUCGUUAACUGAAUACAUAGGUUAACGAGGCGAACCGGGGGAACUGAAACAUCUAAGUACCCCGAGGAAAAGAAAUCAACCGAGAUUCCCCCAGUAGCGGCGAGCGAACGGGGAGCAGCCCGGAGUCUGAAUCAGCUUGUGUGUUAGUGGAAGCGUCUGGAAAGUCGCAGGGUACAGGGUGAUACUCCCGUACACUAAAACACACAGGUUGUGAACUCGAAGAGUAGGGCGGGACACGUGGUAUCCUGUCUGAAUAUGGGGGGACCAUCCUCCAAGGCUAAAUACUCCUGACUGACCGAUAGUGAACCAGUACCGUGAGGGAAAGGCGAAAAGAACCCCGGCGAGGGGAGUGAAAAAGAACCUGAAACCGUGUACGUACAAGCAGUAGGAGCCCACUAGUUGGGUGACUGCGUACCUUUUGUAUAAUGGGUCAGCGACUUAUAUUCUGUAGCAAGGUUAACCGUAUAGGGGAGCCGCAGGGAAACCGAGUCUUAACUGGGCGUUAAGUUGCAGGGUAUAGACCCGAAACCCGGUGAUCUAGCCAUGGGCAGGUUGAAGGUUGGGUAACACUAACUGGAGGACCGAACCGACUAAUGUUGAAAAAUUAGCGGAUGACUUGUGGCUGGGGGUGAAAGGCCAAUCAAACCGGGAGAUAGCUGGUUCUCCCCGAAAGCUAUUUAGGUAGCGCCUCGUGAAUUCAUCUUCGGGGGUAGAGCACUGUUUCGGCUAGGGGGUCAUCCCGACUUACCAACCCGAUGCAAACUACGAAUACCGAAGAAUGUUAUCACGGGAGACACACGGCGGGUGCUAACGUCCGUCGUGAAGAGGGAAACAACCCAGACCGCCAGCUAAGGUCCCAAAGUCAUGGUUAAGUGGGAAACGAUGUGGGAAGGCCCAGACAGCCAGGAUGUUGGCUUAGAAGCAGCCAUCAUUUAAAGAAAGCGUAAUAGCUCACUGGUCGAGUCGGCCUGCGCGGAAGAUGUAACGGGGCUAAACCAUGCACCGAAGCUGCGGCAGCGACACUAUGUGUUGUUGGGUAGGGGAGCGUUCUGUAAGCCGUUGAAGGUGGCCUGUGAGGGUUGCUGGAGGUAUCAGAAGUGCGAAUGCUGACAUAAGUAACGAUAAUGCGGGUGAAAAACCCGCACGCCGGAAGACCAAGGGUUCCUGUCCAACGUUAAUCGGGGCAGGGUGAGUCGACCCCUAAGGCGAGGCCGAAAGGCGUAGUCGAUGGGAAACAGGUUAAUAUUCCUGUACUCGGUGUUACUGCGAAGGGGGGACGGAGAAGGCUAUGUUGGCCGGGCGACGGUUGUCCCGGUUUAAGCAUGUAGGCGGAUGUUCCAGGUAAAUCCGGAACGUCACUAACGCUGAGGUGUGAUGACGAGGCACUACGGUGCUGAAGUGACAAAUGCCCUGCUUCCAGGAAAAGCCUCUAAGCAUCAGGUAACAUCAAAUCGUACCCCAAACCGACACAGGUGGUCAGGUAGAGAAUACCAAGGCGCUUGAGAGAACUCGGGUGAAGGAACUAGGCAAAAUGGUGCCGUAACUUCGGGAGAAGGCACGCUGAUGGUAGGUGAAGUGACUUGCUCAUGGAGCUGAAAUCAGUCGAAGAUACCAGCUGGCUGCAACUGUUUAUUAAAAACACAGCACUGUGCAAACACGAAAGUGGACGUAUACGGUGUGACGCCUGCCCGGUGCCGGAAGGUUAAUUGAUGGGGUUAUCCGUAAGGAGAAGCUCUUGAUCGAAGCCCCGGUAAACGGCGGCCGUAACUAUAACGGUCCUAAGGUAGCGAAAUUCCUUGUCGGGUAAGUUCCGACCUGCACGAAUGGCGUAAUGAUGGCCAGGCUGUCUCCACCCGAGACUCAGUGAAAUUGAACUCGCUGUGAAGAUGCAGUGUACCCGCGGCAAGACGGAAAGACCCCGUGAACCUUUACUAUAGCUUGACACUGAACACUGGUCCUUGAUGUGUAGGAUAGGUGGGAGGCUUUGAAGUGUGGACGCCAGUCUGCAUGGAGCCAUCCUUGAAAUACCACCCUUUAAUGGCUGGUGUUCUAACGUGGGCCCCUGAUCGGGGUUGCGGACAGUGUCUGGUGGGUAGUUUGACUGGGGCGGUCUCCUCCUAAAGAGUAACGGAGGAGCACGAAGGUCAGCUAAUCCUGGUCGGACAUCAGGAGGUUAGUGCAAUGGCAUAAGCUGGCUUGACUGCGAGCGUGACGGCGCGAGCAGGUGCGAAAGCAGGUCAUAGUGAUCCGGUGGUUCUGAAUGGAAGGGCCAUCGCUCAACGGAUAAAAGGUACUCCGGGGAUAACAGGCUGAUACCGCCCAAGAGUUCAUAUCGACGGCGGUGUUUGGCACCUCGAUGUCGGCUCAUCACAUCCUGGGGCUGAAGUAGGUCCCAAGGGUAUGGCUGUUCGCCAUUUAAAGUGGUACGCGAGCUGGGUUUAGAACGUCGUGAGACAGUUCGGUCCCUAUCUGCCGUGGGCGCUGGAGAAUUGAGGGGGGCUGCUCCUAGUACGAGAGGACCGGAGUGGACGCAUCACUGGUGUUCGGGUUGUCAUGCCAAUGGCAUUGCCCGGUAGCUAAAUGCGGAAGAGAUAAGUGCUGAAAGCAUCUAAGCACGAAACUUGCCCCGAGAUGAGUUCUCCCUGACUCCUUGAGAGUCCUGAAGGAACGUUGAAGACGACGACGUUGAUAGGCCGGGUGUGUAAGCGCAGCGAUGCGUUGAGCUAACCGGUACUAAUGAACCGUGAGGCUUAACCUUACAACGCCGAAG